Molecule: small RNA, 536 nt
Filed under: Diaporthe litchiicola
Lineage: Eukaryota; Fungi; Ascomycota; Sordariomycetes; Diaporthales; Diaporthaceae
Description: eukaryotic LSU rRNA
Rfam family: 5.8S ribosomal RNA (bases 180-333)
Source: RNAcentral
AUUGCUGGAACGCGCCCCAGGCGCACCCAGAAACCCUUUGUGAACUUAUACCUUUUGUUGCCUCGGCGCAUGCUGGUCUCUAAGUAGGCCCCUCACCCCGGUGAGGAGAAGGCACGCCGGCGGCCAAAACAACUCUUGUUUUUACACUGAAACUCUGAGAAAAAACACAAAUGAAUCAAAACUUUCAACAACGGAUCUCUUGGUUCUGGCAUCGAUGAAGAACGCAGCGAAAUGCGAUAAGUAAUGUGAAUUGCAGAAUUCAGUGAAUCAUCGAAUCUUUGAACGCACAUUGCGCCCUCUGGUAUUCCGGAGGGCAUGCCUGUUCGAGCGUCAUUUCAACCCUCAAGCAUUGCUUGGUGUUGGGGCACUGCUUUUAACGAAGCAGGCCCUGAAAUCUAGUGGCGAGCUCGCCAGGACCCCGAGCGCAGUAGUUAAACCCUCGCUCUGGAAGGCCCUGGCGGUGCCCUGCCGUUAAACCCCCAACUUUUGAAAAUUUGACCUCGGAUCAGGUAGGAAUACCCGCUGAACUUAAGCAU